Molecule: ribosomal RNA, 484 nt
Filed under: uncultured bacterium
Lineage: Bacteria
Description: partial 16S ribosomal RNA
Rfam family: Bacterial small subunit ribosomal RNA
Source: RNAcentral
AUUGAACGCUGGCGGCAUGCUUUACACAUGCAAGUCGAACGGCAGCGCGGGCUUCGGCCUGGCGGCGAGUGGCGAACGGGUGAGUAAUGCAUCGGAACGUGCCCAGUAGUGGGGGAUAGCCCGGCGAAAGCCGGAUUAAUACCGCAUACGACCUGAGGGUGAAAGCGGGGGACCGAAAGGCCUCGCGCUAUUGGAGCGGCCGAUGUCGGAUUAGCUAGUUGGUGGGGUAAAGGCUUACCAAGGCGACGAUCCGUAGCUGGUCUGAGAGGACGACCAGCCACACUGGGACUGAGACAGGGCCCAGACUCCUGCGGGAGGCAGCAGUGGGGAAUUUUGGACAAUGGGGGCAACCCUGAUCCAGCCAUGCGGCGUGCGGGAAGAAGGCCUUCGGGUUGUAAACCGCUUUUGUUCGGGAAGAAAUCCUCUGGGCUAAUACCCCGGGGGGAUGACGGUACCGGAAGAAUAAGCACCGGCUAACUACGUG